UAAGAAGCAAGUAGUAUCUUGUGGUUGGU
This 29-nucleotide non-coding RNA is filed under the name Mus musculus (house mouse). Lineage: Eukaryota; Metazoa; Chordata; Mammalia; Rodentia; Muridae. The record is from RNAcentral.